RNAcentral lists this long non-coding RNA (267 nucleotides) under Physcomitrium patens. RNAcentral describes it as "long non-coding RNA (PPAT_LNC001516)". The record is from RNAcentral. Lineage: Eukaryota; Viridiplantae; Streptophyta; Bryopsida; Funariales; Funariaceae.
AUCCUUAUAUACUUUAAUUUAACUAUUUGAUUGACUUCAAAAUUUGCAUAUAUAUUAACAAUCAAUACACCAAUAUGUUGCUCAAAUAUCAUUCAUAAAUAUACUAUAAAAUUCAAGAAAUCCUCGAAUUUAUCAAUAUAUUUUUAUUUAUCAAAUCCUUAUUUUACCAAGAAUAUCAUUAACUUUGAAAAUCUCUGAAAAUGUCAAUAUUGAUUAAAUGACAUGAAAUAAAUUCUUAAAAAUCUCUCCUCUAGUCUACUCUCAAAU